This 842-nucleotide ribosomal RNA is filed under the name uncultured Actinomycetes bacterium. RNAcentral describes it as "bacterial SSU rRNA". It matches the Rfam family "Bacterial small subunit ribosomal RNA", at positions 509 to 1352 of the family's 1533-position model. The record is from RNAcentral. Lineage: Bacteria; Bacillati; Actinomycetota; Actinomycetes.
CAGCAGCCGCGGUAAUACGUAGGGGGCGAGCGUUAUCCGGAUUUAUUGGGCGUAAAGCGCGCGUAGGCGGCUUGUUAAGUCAGGUGUGAAAGCCGGGGGCUCAACCCGCGGACUGCAUCUGAAACUGGCAGGCUUGAGUCUGGUAGAGGAAAGUGGAAUUGCUAGUGUAGCGGUGAAAUGCGCAGAUAUUAGCAGGAACACCAGUGGCGAAGGCGGCUUUCUGGGCCACGACUGACGCUAAGGCGCGAAAGCUAGGGGAGCAAACAGGAUUAGAUACCCUGGUAGUCCUAGCUGUAAACGAUGGGCACUAGGUGUGGGGGAUCAUCGACGUCUUCCGUGCCGCAGCUAACGCAUUAAGUGCCCCGCCUGGGGAGUACGGCCGCAAGGCUAAAACUCAAAGGAAUUGACGGGGGCCCGCACAAGCAGCGGAGCAUGUGGCUUAAUUCGACGCAACGCGAAGAACCUUACCAGGUCUUGACAUGCAGGGAAAAGCGGCGGAAACGUCGUGUCCGAGAGGGCUCUGCACAGGUGGUGCAUGGCUGUCGUCAGCUCGUGUCGUGAGAUGUUGGGUUAUGUCCCGCAACGAGCGCCACCCCUGUCCCAUGUUGCCAGCAUUUGGUUGGGGACUCUUGGGAGACUGCCGGCGACAAGCCGGAGGAAGGUGGGGAUGACGUCAAGUCAUCAUGCCCCUUAUGACCUGGGCUGCACACGUGCUACAAUGGUCGGCUACAAUGGGCUGCGAAGGGGUGACCCGGAGCGAAUCCCAUAAAACCGGCCCCAGUUCGGAUCGAAGGCUGCAACUCGCCUUCGUGAAGUCGGAGUUGCUAGUAAUCGCGGAUCAG